RNAcentral lists this ribosomal RNA (505 nucleotides) under uncultured bacterium. Its description in RNAcentral is "partial 16S ribosomal RNA". It matches the Rfam family "Bacterial small subunit ribosomal RNA", at positions 28 to 507 of the family's 1533-position model. The record is from RNAcentral.
GACGAACGCUGGCGGCGUGCCUAAUACAUGCAAGUAGAACGCACAGUUUAUACCGUAGCUUGCUACACCAUAGACUGUGAGUUGCGAACGGGUGAGUAACGCGUAGGUAACCUGCCUGGUAGCGGGGGAUAACUAUUGGAAACGAUAGCUAAUACCGCAUAAUAUUAAUUAUUCCAUGAUAAUUAAUUGAAAGUUGCAAUUGCACCACUACCCGAUGGACCUGCGUUGUAUUAGCUAGUAGGUGAGGUAACGGCUCACCUAGGGGACGAUACAUAGCCGACCUGAGAGGGGGAGAGGCCACACUGGGACGGAGACACGGCCCAGACUACUACGGGAGGAAGCAGUAGGGAAUCUUCGGCAAUGGACGAAAGUCGGACCGAGCAACGCCGCGUGAGUGAAGAAGGGUUUCGGAUCGUAAAGCUCUGUUGUAAGAGAAGAACGGGUGUGAGAGUGGAAAGUUCACACUGUGACGGUAUCUUAACAGAAAGGGACGGCUAACUACGUG